ACAUGUAGAUGAGAGGAGAGAGGCUAUGUCUAUCGUCAAUGUCCUGAGCUAUGAACAUCUGAAGGAUCAUUGGCCUAACAUU
Molecule: small nucleolar RNA, 82 nt
Filed under: Meriones unguiculatus (Mongolian gerbil)
Lineage: Eukaryota; Metazoa; Chordata; Mammalia; Rodentia; Muridae
Description: Small nucleolar RNA SNORA17 (ENSMUGG00000005532.1)
Rfam family: Small nucleolar RNA SNORA17
About the family: snoRNA ACA 17 belongs to the H/ACA family of snoRNAs and is predicted to guide pseudouridylation of the 28S rRNA at positions U4659 and U4598.
Source: RNAcentral